This 152-nucleotide small RNA is filed under the name Staphylococcus aureus. RNAcentral's name for it is "Transcript". Lineage: Bacteria; Bacillati; Bacillota; Bacilli; Caryophanales; Staphylococcaceae. The record is from RNAcentral.
GAUCUUUUAAACUUGCAAACUGCUCGGACAUCACAAAAGGAUGCGACGCUAAAUCUAAUUCUGAUAAUUGUUUAGCAAGCUGUGUGGCAGCAGUAGUCAGUCCUUCUUCAACGCGAGCCACUUCCCAUUCAUGACUUAAAUCACAAUUCAUA